AUUGAACGCUGGCGGCAGGCCUAACACAUGCAAGUCGAACGGUAACAGGAAGCAGCUUGCUGCUUCGCUGACGAGUGGCGGACGGGUGAGUAAUGUCUGGGAAACUGCCUGAUGGAGGGAGAUAACUACUGGAAACGGUAGCUAAUACCGCAUAACGUCGCAAGACCAAAGAGGGGGACCUUAGGGCCUCUUGCCAUCGGAUGUGCCCCGAUGGGAUUAGCUAGUAGGUGGGGUAACGGCUCACCUAGGCGACGAUCCCUAGCUGGUCUGAGAGGAUGACCAGCCACACUGGAACUGAGACACGGUCCAGACUCCUACGGGAGGCAGCAGUGGGGAAUAUUGCACAAUGGGCGCAAGCCUGAUGCAGCCAUGCCGCGUGUAUGAAGAAGGCCUUCGGGUUGUAAAGUACUUUCAGCGGGGAGGAAGGGAGUAAAGUUAAUACCUUUGCUCAUUGACGUUACCCGCAGAAGAAGCACCGGCUAACUCCGUG
RNAcentral lists this ribosomal RNA (490 nucleotides) under uncultured bacterium. RNAcentral describes it as "partial 16S ribosomal RNA". It matches the Rfam family "Bacterial small subunit ribosomal RNA", at positions 30 to 507 of the family's 1533-position model. The record is from RNAcentral.